Molecule: ribosomal RNA, 505 nt
Filed under: uncultured bacterium
Lineage: Bacteria
Description: partial 16S ribosomal RNA
Rfam family: Bacterial small subunit ribosomal RNA
Source: RNAcentral
GACGAACGCUGGCGGCGUGCCUAAUACAUGCAAGUAGAACGCACAGUUUAUACCGUAGCUUGCUACACCAUAGACUGUGAGUUGCGAACGGGUGAGUAACGCGUAGGUAACCUGCCUGGUAGCGGGGGAUAACUAUUGGAAACGAUAGCUAAUACCGCAUAAUAUUAAUUAUUGCAUGAUAAUUAAUUGAAAGGUGCAUUUGCACCACUACCAGAUGGACCUGCGUUGUAUUAGCUAGUAGGUGAGGUAACGGCUCACCUAGGCGACGAUACAUAGCCGACCUGAGAGGGUGAUCGGCCACACUGGGACUGAGACACGGCCCAGACUCCUACGGGAGGCAGCAGUAGGGAAUCUUCGGCAAGGGACGAAAGUCUGACCGAGCAACGCCGCGUGAGUGAAGAAGGUUUUCGGAUCGUAAAGCUCUGUUGUAAGAGAAGAACGGGUGUGAGAGUGGAAAGUUCACACUGUGACGGUAUCUUACCAGAAAGGGACGGCUAACUACGUG